This is a long non-coding RNA of Notolabrus celidotus (New Zealand spotty), 537 nucleotides long. RefSeq lists it as uncharacterized. The transcript is spliced from 3 exons. The record is from RefSeq and is a predicted model, not a curated record. NCBI's taxonomy places the organism in Eukaryota, Metazoa, Chordata, Actinopteri, Labriformes, Labridae.
GGUUGUUCUGUCCUGGACUUCAUCAUGUUGUCUCUGCGUGUGGCUGAACUGGUCCUCAUCACUCUGCUCACUGUUCUUCUCUUCAGAGCUCGAGGGAACCAGAGACCUCCUGAGGAUAUCACUGUGCGUUAUGAUGGAGAUGACGACACAGUGAACUAUGAGAACGCUGGAGAGCCUUCUGCAUCAGUCAGACUCCACUGAUCAACAUCUUCCACGCCUUCAAUUUACCAGACCAAUGAGUCCACUGCUCUUAAACUUUGUUACAGCUUUUUACUGCACAUACAAACACAAACCCUGAUUUCAGUUUAAGGUGUUUAGUAAAGACUUGAUUAAUGUAAAUUGAACAAAUCAACUGCUUUUUUUAGCCAAAUAUUAAAGUUCAGUUUUUAUAUAAAUAAUAUAAUGAUAUUUGUUUGAGUUGACAGCACUUUGUUUUUUGAAUAGAUAAUUUUUUGCGUUGUUUGGUGGACCGUGUUUCCCUUCUGUUGUCAUAUCUUCUGGGCGGAGUCAUGAGUGUAUAAUGUUACCAAUAAAUGA